GUUUUCGACUCUGUCACUCGUCUGAACUUGUGCGGUGGUUCGUGCUGCGCGCGCUUUGUCGGAAGCAUUUUUCUUUUGUUUUUGGACAUCAUGACGCAAGUUUUAGUGAAAUUGCUCUAUGAUGAUAAGUGGGAUGUUUAUCCGUUGAAGACGUUCGCUGACGCAGCCACUGGUCUUCGGGUGAUGUUCGAGCCUGGCAGUUUUGAUGAGUUGCACGGCAGAAUUCAUGAUGGAAGGAAGGCGAACAAAGCCGCAGCCUAACUUCUGCACACAGGCAAACCGCAUGCCCUGGAGCGAAAGCGCGCGAAGCUAGCGCUUGCUGCCGCCGCUGCUUCGAUUGAAAUGUUACACAUGCACCAAAAGGCCAGGUGCUGACGUGUCGUUCGUCAAGAACAGCUUGGCGUCGUUUCUCGCAAGAGACAUCCAUUGAUCUGCGGCUGAUUCACCAGGAAGCUCGCAUCUCUGUUGCCACUCUGCGUCAAGUGGGAUUUUUAACUAUUUUUUAUUCUGCCCGGGUGGUGUACGCUGUGACGCUGUGAAGACUUACUUUCAUGGACGCUGUGAAGGCUUACUUUCGAUGUGUUCUGCCUUUUGGUUGUAAAGAAUUGGCUACCUUGUGAGUGGAGGUAGUUCCUUUUUCUUGUGAGAAUGUUUAUCAGCCUAACCAAGCGGUACAUGCGUACUUGAAACAGCAGCACAGACGAGGAUAAUGAAAUAAGUAGGAACACAUACAAGCGCCGACUCAACUAGAAGUUUAUUCUUGAAGACAGGUUGUAAACACAUUGGAACUUGACAAAGAUAAGAAACCAUGUAUGCGUGGCCUUUGUGAUUAAACGAAAUUGUGUUUUCUGCUGUUAGGGGUAGAACGAACAAUUGUUUCAUCACAAAGACCAGAACACAAGAGAAAUUAUGGAAGCCUUAUUUAUUGAUUGCAAAGAAGACAAAUGCAUAAGCUAUCUGUUGCUCUUAAUGGGAAAGAGUUGGGAUUUUUAAAAGAGCUCUCCUUGUUUGGUGGUAUCACUUCUAGGACAUCUUUCACUCUUUUUUUUUACCUGCAUAUUUAUACUACAAAACACGUGUUUUGUUCCUUUUUUUUGUUGCACCGGGCUGUCUGCCACGCAUGCAUGGCUAUUUCUUUGUCAAGUUGGCCAGUGUGCUUAAUAUCUUUGUCGUCACGAACAAACUUCUAGUUGAGUCAGCAUUAUUGUGUGUUCCUACCUUAUUUCACCGUUCUCAUCUUUGUUUGAGCUGUUUGUAAAGUAUGUACACACACCAAAUUACCAAAGUAUCCGUAAAAUUGAGAUACAUGAAGUUAUUUGCACUAUUCAUUUCUGCAAGAAUGGUAUAGCUUCUCAUCUCGUUUGUUCUUAACGUUGUUGUACAGUUUUUGUAAUAUAUAGCCUGGAAAGACGUUUUCUGUCAGAUUAAAUAUGCAUGUAUGUCACUUUUGAUAUUUUUUUUCAACAUGGGUAGUGCAGCUCCUUCCGUCUUUCAGUUACUGCUUUGUCGCAACUUUUAUAUAUUUUAUGCAGCGAAAUGCUGGUGGAAUUAUAUAUAUUUAUGUGCGCAAGUGUGGAAAAUGGUGUUUUGUAUGUGCAUUUAUUUGCGUUUUUUACUAGCUCUCCAAUCUGGCUGUACAGUUAUUGAAACCUUUUCUCAUGCUUUAUAAUGAGUCGUUCUGGGCUCUUUGAUGAUGCAGGUGACCAUUUAUUUCACUGUUGGGAAUUGCGUUAGCUGUGUGUCACUCCAGUUGUCUGUAUUUUAUGUCACUUUAUUAUAUCAUUGAAAGUAUUAGCCUUGCAUUAGCUUUUUAUUGACCAAGGUACCAGUUAGUUGCUGUGUAGGGUAAAAAAGGCCCAAAGAAAUGAUUUCAUUAGCUUUGUUCAAGUCCAGAAAAAAAUUCACUGAUGAGCUCACUAAAUUAGAAAAUGCCACCAGUAAACUCUUCCGUACCCACAAGUAACACAAGAAAUUAAAUACUGUUCACACUCGAGAGGGAAACAGCGCGAAAAAACACAAGAAGGGAGACACACACCAGCGCUUCUUGUCCCUUCUUGUCUUGUGUUUUUUGCGCUGUUUCCCUCUCGAGUAUGCACCAACUAGCCCAAGCCUCUACUGUCUUGAAAUACUGUGCAGUUCUUGACUUAUGCCAGGGAGGUAAGCUGCUUUUACAGCACAAAUGUUUUAGAAGUUUACCUCUGAAAAACACGAUUCAGGUGUUUUGUAUAUAUAUACAUUAAGUCAUUUGUUUCCAGUUGUUAUUUUGCCUACUCACAGGCAGCCGUAAACCCUUCUGUGACUGUUUACUGGGUGUGUGAAGCAUUUUACUGUAAGGUAUCGAGUGGUCUUCAUUUUUGUAUUUAUGCAUGCAAGCCAAGAGUUCAUGUGUUCAAAGUUAAUUACAAGGGUAUGCUUAAGGUCUGCCUUUGAGUCACUUGACUGUUGUUUUUACAAAAUAUAUUUUUUUCUGCUGUAAUUGUGAAAUAUAAUUCUUUCUGCUGUAAUAAACUUCAAGUUGAGUGAGCA
Dermacentor silvarum is the source of this 2526-nucleotide long non-coding RNA. RefSeq lists it as uncharacterized. The record is from RefSeq and is a predicted model, not a curated record. Lineage: Eukaryota; Metazoa; Arthropoda; Arachnida; Ixodida; Ixodidae. The transcript is spliced from 3 exons.